UUGAAUAUGAAUGAAACAGGUGCCGACGGUAAUCCAAAGGAUUACAGGUCGGUGAAAAGGGAAGAUGGGUGAAAAUCCCACGCGGUCCCGCCGCUGUAAGAGAAGAGUUCCUCCAGGAAUGCCACCAGAAUAUGGGAAGGCAGGGGGUAAUGUUGACGCUUUAGCCAGAAGACCUGCCUGCUUUAAUUACUCAGU
This 195-nucleotide non-coding RNA is filed under the name Acetobacterium woodii. RNAcentral also lists the same sequence under 1 other name. The record is from RNAcentral. Lineage: Bacteria; Bacillati; Bacillota; Clostridia; Eubacteriales; Eubacteriaceae.